GGUAAGGAAAUAAAACAGAAAGAAGUUAAGUGAAUUCCCCAAGGCUAUACAGAGAAGUGACUGGUGGAUAGGGAAUUUGAACACAUUCAUUUUAAAGCUACAAUCCUGUCAUGCUAUCUCUCCAGGCAAUGCGUGUCUCACUCUGGGGAGAAAAACAUUACGCAGAAGUCAUGGAAACUUGUCAAGCGAGGUUCAGCAGUUGCUAUCUGGCUACACCUUGGAACAUGGAUCAUCAUCUUGAAGCCAGGGAAGCUGAAUUCAGAAGGGAAGAACAGAGAAUGUCUGGCCUAUGUCUUAUCUUUCGUGAGAUACCCUUCUAAGUUCCCUUUCAAAGUCAAGAGUGAAAUCCAGUUCAUAUGUAAAAAUAUUGAGAUAGGCAAAUCAUUAUUGCCAUAUUUUUCCGUGCAUAAGACGCCCCCAUGUAUAAUUUUGGGGACUCCAAAUUAAGAAAACACCCCUCAGCACUACCCGUGUAUAAGACGAGCCCCUUGUGAUUGAUUGUGUGACUGCGGAAAUGAAUAAAAGUGCCCCAUCUAAACAUGA
Podarcis lilfordi (Lilford's wall lizard) is the source of this 543-nucleotide non-coding RNA. The record is from the annotation of a GenBank genome assembly. Lineage: Eukaryota; Metazoa; Chordata; Lepidosauria; Squamata; Lacertidae.